Molecule: ribosomal RNA, 380 nt
Filed under: uncultured eukaryote
Lineage: Eukaryota
Description: partial 18S ribosomal RNA
Rfam family: Eukaryotic small subunit ribosomal RNA
Source: RNAcentral
CAAUAGCGUAUAUUAAAGUUGUUGCGGUUAAAAAGCUCGUAGUUGGAUUUCUGCUGAGAACGACCGGUCCGCCCUUUGGGUGUGUAUCUGGCUCUUUCUUGGCAUCUUCUUGGUGAACGUUGCUGCACUUGACUGUGUGGAGCGCUACCCAGGACUUUUACUUUGAGGAAAUUAGAGUGUUUCAAGCAGGCAUACGCCUUGAAUACAUUAGCAUGGAAUAAUAAGAUAGGACCUCGGUUCUAUUUUGUUGGCUUCUAGAGCUGAGGUAAUGAUUAAUAGGGAUAGUUGGGGGCAUUCGUAUUUAACUGUCAGAGGUGAAAUUCUUGGAUUUGUUAAAGACGGACUACUGCGAAANCANNNGCCAAGGAUGUUUUCAUNGA